UAUGGCUUUCUAUUCCUAUGUGAUUUUCUUCUGCCGUGUCACAUAGGGUUCAAAGCCAUUGG
This 62-nucleotide microRNA precursor is filed under the name Danio rerio (zebrafish). RNAcentral's name for it is "Dre-Mir-135-P4a_pre stem-loop". It matches the Rfam family "mir-135 microRNA precursor family", at positions 17 to 74 of the family's 88-position model. Rfam says of the family: The hairpin precursors (represented here) are predicted based on base pairing and cross-species conservation -- their extents are not known. The record is from RNAcentral. RNAcentral also lists the same sequence under 1 other name. Lineage: Eukaryota; Metazoa; Chordata; Actinopteri; Cypriniformes; Danionidae.